This 525-nucleotide ribosomal RNA is filed under the name Flavobacterium sp. E0-I6. RNAcentral's name for it is "bacterial SSU rRNA". It matches the Rfam family "Bacterial small subunit ribosomal RNA", at positions 957 to 1493 of the family's 1533-position model. The record is from RNAcentral. Lineage: Bacteria; Pseudomonadati; Bacteroidota; Flavobacteriia; Flavobacteriales; Flavobacteriaceae.
AUACGCGAGGAACCUUACCAAGGCUUAAAUGGGAAUUGAUCGGUUUAGAAAUAGACCUUCCUUCGGGCAAUUUUCAAGGUGCUGCAUGGUUGUCGUCAGCUCGUGCCGUGAGGUGUUAGGUUAAGUCCUGCAACGAGCGCAACCCCUGUCACUAGUUGCUAGCAUUAAGUUGAGGACUCUAGUGAGACUGCCUACGCAAGUAGAGAGGAAGGUGGGGAUGACGUCAAAUCAUCACGGCCCUUACGCCUUGGGCCACACACGUAAUACAAUGGCCGGUACAGAGGGCAGCUACACAGCGAUGUGAUGCAAAUCUCGAAAGCCGGUCUCAGUUCGGAUUGGAGUCUGCAACUCGACUCUAUGAAGCUGGAAUCGCUAGUAAUCGCGCAUCAGCCAUGGCGCGGUGAAUACGUUCCCGGGCCUUGUACACACCGCCCGUCAAGCCCUGGAAGUCUGGGGUACCUGAAGUCGGUGACCGUAAAAGGAGCUGCCUAGGGUAAAACAGGUAACUAGGGCUAAGUCGUAACA